AUUGAACGCUGGCGGCAUGCUUUACACAUGCAAGUCGAACGGCAGCGCGGGCUUCGGCCUGGCGGCGAGUGGCGAACGGGUGAGUAAUGCAUCGGAACGUGCCCAGUAGUGGGGGAUAGCCCGGCGAAAGCCGGAUUAAUACCGCAUACGACCUGAGGGUGAAAGCGGGGGACCGAAAGGCCUCGCGCUAUUGGAGCGGCCGAUGUCGGAUUAGCUAGUUGGUGGGGUAAAGGCUUACCAAGGCGACGAUCCGUAGCUGGUCUGAGAGGACGACCAGCCACACUGGGACUGAGACACGGCCCAGACUCCUACGGGAGGCAGCAGUGGGGAAUUUUGGACAAUGGGGGCAACCCUGAUCCAGCCAUGCCGCGUGCGAGAAGAAGGCCUUCGGGUUGUAAACCUCUUUUGUUCGGGAAGAAAUCCUCUGGGCUAAUACCCCGGGGGGAUGACGGUACCGGAAGAAUAAGCACCGGCUAACUACGUG
This 484-nucleotide ribosomal RNA is filed under the name uncultured bacterium. RNAcentral describes it as "partial 16S ribosomal RNA". It matches the Rfam family "Bacterial small subunit ribosomal RNA", at positions 29 to 507 of the family's 1533-position model. The record is from RNAcentral.